This 241-nucleotide ribosomal RNA is filed under the name uncultured bacterium. RNAcentral's name for it is "partial 16S ribosomal RNA". It matches the Rfam family "Bacterial small subunit ribosomal RNA", at positions 91 to 334 of the family's 1533-position model. The record is from RNAcentral.
CGGACCGGCGCACGGGUGCGUAACGCGUAUGCAACCUACCUUUAACAGGGGGAUAACACUGAGAAAUUGGUACUAAUACCCCAUAAUAUCAUAGAAGGCAUCUUUUAUGGUUGAAAAUUCCGAUGGUUAGAGAUGGGCAUGCGUUGCAUUAGCUAGUUGGUGGGGUAACGGCUCACCAAGGCGACGAUACAUAGGGGGACUGAGAGGUUAACCCCCACACUGGUACUGAGACACGGACCAG